GAUCAUGGCUCAGGAUGAACGCUGGCGGCGUGCUUAACACAUGCAAGUCGAACGAAGCACUUUAAUUGAUUUCUUCGGAAUGAAGUUUUUGUGACUGAGUGGCGGACGGGUGAGUAACGCGUGGGUAACCUGCCUCAUACAGGGGGAUAACAGUUGGAAGCGACUGCUAAUACCGCAUGAGCACACAGGAUUGCAUGAUCCAGUGUGAAAAACUCCGGUGGU
Molecule: ribosomal RNA, 222 nt
Filed under: uncultured bacterium
Lineage: Bacteria
Description: partial 16S ribosomal RNA
Rfam family: Bacterial small subunit ribosomal RNA
Source: RNAcentral